UAGACAGAUGCCCGCUGGUUUGGGCGCUUAGCUGUUAACUAAGAUUUUGCAGGGUCGAGGCCUGCCUGUCUAG
Molecule: transfer RNA, 73 nt
Filed under: Arnoglossus laterna (scaldfish)
Lineage: Eukaryota; Metazoa; Chordata; Actinopteri; Pleuronectiformes; Bothidae
Description: tRNA-Asn
Source: RNAcentral